GACGAACGCUGGCGGCGUGCUUAACACAUGCAAGUCGUACGGUAAGGCCCUUUCGGGGGUACACGAGUGGCGAACGGGUGAGUAACACGUGAGUAACCUGCCCACAACUUUGGGAUAACGCUAGGAAACUGGUGCUAAUACUGGAUAUGUGCUCCUGCUGCAUGGUGGGGGUUGGAAAGCUCCGGCGGUUGUGGAUGGACUCGCGGCCUAUCAGCUUGUUGGUGGGGUAGUGGCCUACCAAGGCGGCGACGGGUAGCCGGCCUGAGAGGGUGACCGGCCACAUUGGGACUGAGAUACGGACCAGACUCCUACGGGAGGCAGCAGUGGGGAAUAUUGCACAAUGGGCGCAAGCCUGAUGCAGCAACGCCGCGUGCGGGAUGACGGCCUUCGGGUUGGAAACCGCUUUCAGCAGGGACGAAGCUUUUUGUGACGGUACCUGCAGAAGAAGCACGGGCUAACUACGUG
RNAcentral lists this ribosomal RNA (465 nucleotides) under uncultured bacterium. Its description in RNAcentral is "partial 16S ribosomal RNA". It matches the Rfam family "Bacterial small subunit ribosomal RNA", at positions 28 to 507 of the family's 1533-position model. The record is from RNAcentral.